UAGCUCACUAGUCGAGUGACCCUGCGCCGAAAAUGUACCGGGGCUAAACAUAUUACCGAAGCUGUGGAGUACACCUUUAGGUGUAUUGGUAGGAGAGCGUUCUAAGGGCGUUGAAGGCAGAUCGUGAGGACUGCUGGAGCGCUUAGAAGUGAGAAUGCCGGUAUGAGUAGCGAAAGACAGGUGAGAAUCCUGUCCACCGAAUGACUAAGGUUUCCUGGGGAAG
This 223-nucleotide ribosomal RNA is filed under the name Enterococcus faecium. Its description in RNAcentral is "partial 23S ribosomal RNA". It matches the Rfam family "Bacterial large subunit ribosomal RNA", at positions 1138 to 1363 of the family's 2925-position model. The record is from RNAcentral. Lineage: Bacteria; Bacillati; Bacillota; Bacilli; Lactobacillales; Enterococcaceae.